RNAcentral lists this long non-coding RNA (350 nucleotides) under Homo sapiens (human). RNAcentral's name for it is "non-protein coding lnc-AKTIP-9:1". Lineage: Eukaryota; Metazoa; Chordata; Mammalia; Primates; Hominidae. The record is from RNAcentral.
GGCUGCGACCUAACACACCCGGAUCGCAACAACAACAGGAGUCCUGUGCAAUGCCCGGGGUGACCAAAAAGCCCUCGAGACGUAAACACAGCCCAAAACGCAUCAGCACGUUGACUCAAACGCCCGCAACGCCAGGGCAAAGGCAAUUUGGUUAACAGGGGGAAGCGAACAGACGGAGACGCCUGGAGACCCAGGUGCCACAACCCGGUUAAUCGCGGUGCAAAUAAGGGCAAGUCCCCUCCCCUUGUCCGUGUGGUCUUGACAACGACACUAGUUCAUUCUACUAACAAGGCGGGCGGGGGGUCAGAUGGGCCACACACACCCAUUUUCCUCAACGGGACCCCAGCGCG